CUCGGAUCUCUCGCUGAAGCUCUGGCUCUGAGAGGUGUCUUGAUAAGGGGCCCAUCCGAAUAUGCCGGCACCAAAAUCCGACCCGUAAGACCCUCCGGGCUGCGCAGGAUAGUAGCCACCGGAAGAUGACUCCGAUGCACCAUAUCCAUAGGCUGGCUGAGGCCGCGGAUAAUAGGAAGACUCGGAACUUGAUACAUCAAUGGAUCUGACUCCACAUGGGAGGUCAUCUGCAGCUGCAUCCUGGCCUCUUGAACGACCUCGAGGAGCUCUUCUUCGAUAUGCAAUGGUAUCCGACCGGCCUAUAUC
Molecule: long non-coding RNA, 306 nt
Filed under: Phoenix dactylifera (date palm)
Lineage: Eukaryota; Viridiplantae; Streptophyta; Magnoliopsida; Arecales; Arecaceae
Description: long non-coding RNA (PDAC_LNC017727)
Source: RNAcentral